GAUUAAGUUAUUAAGGGCGCACGGUGGAUGCCUUGGCACUAGAAGCCGAUGAAGGACGUUACUAACGACGAUAUGCUUUGGGUAGCUGUAAGUAAGCGUUGAUCCAGAGAUUUCCGAAUGGGGGAACCCAGCAUGAGUUAUGUCAUGUUAUCGACAUGUGAAUUCAUAGCAUGUCAGAAGGCAGACCCGGAGAACUGAAACAUCUUAGUACCCGGAGGAAGAGAAAGAAAAAUCGAUUCCCUGAGUAGCGGCGAGCGAAACGGGAAGAGCCCAAACCAACAAGCUUGCUUGUUGGGGUUGUAGGACACUCUAUACGGAGUUACAAAAGAACAUGUUAGACGAAUCAUCUGGAAAGAUGAAUCAAAGAAGGUAAUAAUCCUGUAGUCGAAAACAUAUUCUCUCUUGAGUGGAUCCUGAGUACGACGGAGCACGUGAAAUUCCGUCGGAAUCUGGGAGGACCAUCUCCUAAGGCUAAAUACUCUCUAGUGACCGAUAGUGAACCAGUACCGUGAGGGAAAGGUGAAAAGUACCCCGGAAGGGGAGUGAAAGAGAACUUGAAACCGUGUGCUUACAAGUAGUCAGAGCCCGUUAAUGGGUGAUGGCGUGCCUUUUGUAGAAUGAACCGGCGAGUUACGAUCUGAUGCAAGGUUAAGCAGCAAAUGUGGAGCCGCAGCGAAAGCGAGUCUGAAUAGGGCGUUGAGUAUUUGGUCGUAGACCCGAAACCAGGUGAUCUACCCUUGGUCAGGUUGAAGUUCAGGUAACACUGAAUGGAGGACCGAACCGACUUACGUUGAAAAGUGAGCGGAUGAACUGAGGGUAGCGGAGAAAUUCCAAUCGAACUUGGAGAUAGCUGGUUCUCUCCGAAAUAGCUUUAGGGCUAGCCUCAAGUGAUGAUUAUUGGAGGUAGAGCACUGUUUGGACGAGGGGCCCCUCUCGGGUUACCGAAUUCAGACAAACUCCGAAUGCCAAUUAAUUUAACUUGGGAGUCAGAACAUGGGUGAUAAGGUCCGUGUUCGAAAGGGAAACAGCCCAGACCACCAGCUAAGGUCCCAAAAUAUAUGUUAAGUGGAAAAGGAUGUGGCGUUGCCCAGACAACUAGGAUGUUGGCUUAGAAGCAGCCAUCAUUUAAAGAGUGCGUAAUAGCUCACUAGUCGAGUGACACUGCGCCGAAAAUGUACCGGGGCUAAACAUAUUACCGAAGCUGUGGAUUGUCCUUUGGACAAUGGUAGGAGAGCGUUCUAAGGGCGUCGAAGCAUGAUCGCAAGGACAUGUGGAGCGCUUAGAAGUGAGAAUGCCGGUGUGAGUAGCGAAAGACGGGUGAGAAUCCCGUCCACCGAUUGACUAAGGUUUCCAGAGGAAGGCUCGUCCGCUCUGGGUUAGUCGGGUCCUAAGCUGAGGCCGACAGGCGUAGGCGAUGGAUAACAGGUUGAUAUUCCUGUACCACCUAGUAUCGUUUUAAUCGAUGGGGGGACGCAGUAGGAUAGGCGAAGCGUGCUGUUGGAGUGCACGUCCAAGCAGUAAGGCUGAGUGUUAGGCAAAUCCGGCACUCAUAAGGCUGAGCUGUGAUGGGGAGAGGAAAUUGUUUCCUCGAGUCGUUGAUUUCACACUGCCGAGAAAAGCCUCUAGAUAGAUAACAGGUGCCCGUACCGCAAACCGACACAGGUAGUCAAGAUGAGAAUUCUAAGGUGAGCGAGCGAACUCUCGUUAAGGAACUCGGCAAAAUGACCCCGUAACUUCGGGAGAAGGGGUGCUCUUUAGGGUUCACGCCCAGAAGAGCCGCAGUGAAUAGGCCCAAGCGACUGUUUAUCAAAAACACAGGUCUCUGCUAAACCGUAAGGUGAUGUAUAGGGGCUGACGCCUGCCCGGUGCUGGAAGGUUAAGAGGAGUGGUUAGCUUCUGCGAAGCUACGAAUCGAAGCCCCAGUAAACGGCGGCCGUAACUAUAACGGUCCUAAGGUAGCGAAAUUCC
Molecule: ribosomal RNA, 1968 nt
Filed under: Bacillus subtilis
Lineage: Bacteria; Bacillati; Bacillota; Bacilli; Caryophanales; Bacillaceae
Description: partial 23S ribosomal RNA
Rfam family: Bacterial large subunit ribosomal RNA
Source: RNAcentral